UACGUAGGGGGCUAGCGUUGUCCGGAAUCAUUGGGCGUAAAGCGCGUGUAGGCGGUUCGGUAAGUCCGCUGUGAAAGUCGGGGGCUCAACCCUCGAAUGCCGGUGGAUACUGUCGGACUAGAGUACGGAAGAGGCGAGUGGAAUUCCCGGUGUAGCGGUGAAAUGCGCAGAUAUCGGGAGGAACACCAAUUGCGAAGGCAGCUCGCUGGGACGUAACUGACGCUGAGACGCGAAAGCGUGGGGAGCAAACAGG
RNAcentral lists this ribosomal RNA (253 nucleotides) under uncultured bacterium. RNAcentral describes it as "partial 16S ribosomal RNA". It matches the Rfam family "Bacterial small subunit ribosomal RNA", at positions 524 to 776 of the family's 1533-position model. The record is from RNAcentral.